AACGAACGCUGGCGGCGUGCUUAACACAUGCAAGUCGAGCGCGAAAGGGACUUCGGUCCUGAGUAAAGUGGCGCACGGGUGAGUAACGCGUGGAUAAUCUACCCGUUGAACCGGGAUAACAUUUCGAAAGGGGUGCUAAUACCGGAUAAGACCACGGAGUCUUCGGGCUCAGUGGUAAAAGGUGGGGACCUUCGGGCCUACCGUCGACGGAUGAGUCCGCGUACCAUUAGCUAGUUGGUGGGGUAAGAGCCUACCAAGGCGACGAUGGUUAGCUGGUCUGAGAGGAUGAUCAGCCACACUGGAACUGAGACACGGUCCAGACUCCUACGGGAGGCAGCAGUGGGGAAUUUUGCGCAAUGGGGGAAACCCUGACGCAGCAACGCCGCGUGAGUGAUGAAGGCCUUCGGGUCGUAAAGCUCUGUCAGGGGGGAAGAAAUGCAGUUGUGCUAAUAUCGCGAUUGCUUGACGGUACCCUCAAAGGAAGCACCGGCUAACUCCGUGCCAGCAGCCGCGGUAAUACGGAGGGUGCGAGCGUUGUUCGGAAUUAUUGGGCGUAAAGCGCGUGUAGGCGGUUUGGUAAGUCUGAUGUGAAAGCCCCGGGCUCAACCUGGGAAGUGCAUUGGAAACUGUCAGACUUGAAUACGGGAGAGGGUAGUGGAAUUCCUAGUGUAGGAGUGAAAUCCGUAGAUAUUAGGAGGAACACCGGUGGCGAAGGCGGCUACCUGGACCGA
Molecule: ribosomal RNA, 731 nt
Filed under: uncultured bacterium
Lineage: Bacteria
Description: bacterial SSU rRNA
Rfam family: Bacterial small subunit ribosomal RNA
Source: RNAcentral